RNAcentral lists this long non-coding RNA (868 nucleotides) under Gossypium raimondii (Peruvian cotton). RNAcentral's name for it is "long non-coding RNA (GRAI_LNC000158)". The record is from RNAcentral. Lineage: Eukaryota; Viridiplantae; Streptophyta; Magnoliopsida; Malvales; Malvaceae.
CGGUGGUGAAACCCCCAUAUCACCCUAAGCCACCAAAACAUCCCCCGCAUCCUCCCAAGCCACCUGUUGUAAAGCCUCCCUAUGUACCUAAGCCACCUAUUGUAAAGCCUCCACCGUAUACACCCAAACCACCGGUUGUGAAGCCUCCGCCAUAUACACCCAAACCGCCGGUUGUGAAGCCUCCGCCAUAUACACCCAAACCGCCGGUUGUGAAGCCUCCGCCAUAUACACCCAAACCGCCGGUUGUGAAGCCUCCGCCAUAUGCACCCAAACCGCCGGUUGUGAAGCCUCCGCCAUAUGCACCCAAACCGCCGGUUGUGAAGCCUCCGCCAUAUGCACCCAAACCGCCGGUUGUGAAGCCUCCACCAUAUACACCCAAGCCACCUUACUAUCCAAUACCGCCGGUCAUAUCACCACCAACACUGCCUCCAAAGCCACCAGUCUACCCCAGUCCACCAAUAGUGAACCCUCCACCAUAUACACCCAAACCGCCGGUUGUGAAGCCUCCGCCAUAUACACCCAAGCCACCUUACUAUCCAAUACCGCCGGUCAUAUCACCACCAACACUGCCUCCAAAGCCACCAGUCUACCCCAGUCCACCAAUAGUGAACCCACCAACACCGCCGAUUCUGCCACCUCCUAUUGUGAAUCCACCAACACCGCCGAUUCUACCACCACCAUCACCACCUAUUGUGAACCCACCAACGCCUCCUAUCGUGAAGCCACCUUCACCGGGAACACCGUGUCCUCCACCACCACCUCCGGCACAACAAACAUGCCCCAUAGACACUCUCAAGCUAGGUGCAUGUGUGGACGUGUUGGGUGGCUUAGUACACAUCGGCAUAGGUAGCAGCGCCAAAGACACUUG